UAAAAUUCCACAAACCCUAGCCCAUUCCGUAUUCCCUCACAAGCUAGUAUCCACCACCCUUCUCUCUUCCCAAUCCAAACCCACGCCGCUACCCUCUCCUCCUUUCUCUAUUUCGAGCCCAGAUCGGAGUGCCACGGCCAGUACCGCCGUCACCUUGACCACCGAGCUCAGAUUCUUCCCACCAAUAGCAACGUUCCAGCCAAACGCAGGUGUACAGUGUAGAAACCCUACCAACCCCACACAGAGGACCCAUAAUCGCGACCAGAACUUAUACGAAAGCCAUGAGUAUGUCUGUCUCUUAACUUGAAUCUGGCCAUUCAUGGAGCUCUUAGCGUUUCAGGCCCAUCGCUGCAAUUCUUGCGACGCGGUGGUCGACGUCGGAGCCGUGUACGACCCGCUUCGGCACCGUUGCGACCAUCACCAAAGGUGUUUCAACCAAGUUUUCGGCCAUGGCUUCACCACUAAGCUCAGUAGCGCUGGUCUUGUCUACAAGGUAAAAAAAAGAAAUUCAGAAGAAAGCUCUACUCAAUGAACUACUGAUAUUUCUGAGGUUCAACACUCUAUCAAGUUACAGAUCGUUGCUUGUCUUUUGAGUUCCAGUUUGCUGAUGGGUGGCAGUCUCAGUUUACUGCUGGAAUUUGGGUUAGUUAACUGCUUUAUCACAACUUUACAAGCCAUGAGGGGAUACCGCAAUUAACCCUCUAUUUGAUAAGAACUAGAAGAAUAGCUAGCUUCUUAAUUUUAUUUGAUAAGAAACUCGAAAGAAUGAAAGCUAGUAUUCUGUUUUUCCAUGAACGACUUGAUGCCUAUAAUUCAGAACUGUGAAAACAUAACAGACACUAAUAUCUUUGAGGGCAGAAGCAGAACUGAACUGAUCUUUGAAAGGAAAUAGAAGAGUUGAUAUAUAUAGGUGGUGAUAUAUGGCAGGGACGUAUGUGAUGAAUUAUUUUGCCUUUUGCAUGGUUGCUUAAAUUAUGAUUUUCUCCUUUUCCCAAUGCAACUACUUUUUUUCUUACUAGUUACUAUAUAUGAAUCCUUUUUCUUAUGCAAAAGGUUAUUGAUGACCCGGGUUUAUAUGAUGUUUUUAUGGUUUUCCCUUGUAGGUUUUGAGUCUUUUUCUUGUGUCUCAUGUAGUGUUUCAUGCAUUCUCAUGCAUUUUUAUUCUUUUCUUUAGUCUUUAUUUUGUUUUGAUAAUUUGGUAGUUUUAUAGGUAGUUUUCUUGCAUUUUAAGUAAAGUUUAGGACUUGCAUGGUUUUGUUGUGUUUUAUGAAGGACCUCUUGUGCUAAUGAGCUCUUGGAGCUUCUAGAAUCUUCCUUGACUUGUUGGUUAGGUUUGGAGAGCAGAAACUGAAGGAGAAAGAAGGCCAAGAAGCAUGGAAUUGAUGGAGAACUUAAAGAGGAUUGAAAAGAGGAGUUUCAGAAGCCAAAAAGUCCUUUUCAGGCGAGCUUAAGCGCUUAGGCGCUGGGAAUGGGCGCCUAGGCGCCAAUUAGGUCCAGAGGCAUGUUUUUCAACAUGCAAUUGGCGCUCAGGCGCUCUGAAUUGGCGCCUGAGCGCCCAGAACAGCCCAGCCUCGUUUAUUUUGCCUAUAAAUAGGAUUUUAGUCAUUUUCUUUUGAAAUCUUGGAUACUUUGUAAAAUUCAGAGGUAGAGGAACAUCUAGGGGAGUGAGAGAGGGCUUCCAAGCUUGUGUUCAAGGUUCUUAGCCAAGCCAUGCUUGGUUAAUCUCUCUUCUUUUACUUUGGUUUUCUUGUAAGACUUUUCCUUUUAAGUUAUAAUCUUAAGUUCUUUCCCACAUGUUCUUCUUCUUUCCUUGAAUCCCAUAUCCAUGCUUUAUGUUUCAAGUUAGAACAUGUGCUAGCUUUAUGCUUUUCUAUAAUAGAACGGAAGUUUGUUAUAGAUUAGGGACUUGUUGUGGGAUUACCCCUUCUUUGCUUGCCUCUAGGAAUAGAGGAAGGGUUGGGGUUUGUUGGCCUGAAUUUACAUGAUCUAAAACCUCAUAUAAAUGACUAAGUACACAAGAAAUUGGGCUUAGCUUUUAGUAUGGGAGAAUUGCUUAUGUGAGGAAUCAAUAAGUGAGUAACUAAGCUAUAACAUCAAGGAGAGAUUCAUGAGAACAUGUGCUUAGAAUGAUGUGCUUGAAUUGAUUAGUUGAGCAAGAACCCAAAGUAAAUCACUCUUUCUUCUCAUUCUCUGUUUCAUUUCUGAAUUUGUAUUUUCUUUUUCCUUAUUACUACUUCGACAUAUGUUUGCCUCAAUAUAACAAACCUUCGGACUCAAAGCUUGAACCGAAUCUAUUCACUCACAAUCCCUGUGGUUCGAUAUUUAAAACCGGGUGGAUUCCGUACACUUGCGGAUUUACCAACAGUUAUCUAAGUGGAUAUGAAGAAUUGCAAGAGGACUAGGAUGGACUUUGAUUAAGCUACUUUAGGAUGUAUUUUUGUCAUUGUCUUGCUUGGUACUUUAAGAUUUAAUCAAAUUAAUUUUCUGUUGAUUAUUCUAUGUAUGUCUUUGGAUUAAGUUUUAAACUCAUUUUAAGUGCUACUAUUACAGAACAUGUGAUGUUAUGAUUGAUCAACUUAGUAUAUAAUUCAUGAAUUAUUUCUUGAUUAGCUCUCUAUUGUGUGCAACUCUUUUCAGUACUGGAUGUUCCUUUCUCUUGUGUUAUAUUUUGAACCUUUUCUUAUACUAUUUGCUGUGGAGAAAUUGUGACUGAUAGAUUUUUCUACUCCUCUAACUUGAAUUUCAUAAUUAUUUUUAUCUUUUAGUUACUGUAAAGAAGCAAGGGAACUGUUAUAUAAAAAGGAAGGGAACUGCUGUUACUCAAAGUUGGGAUGGUGACUAUGGUAACCGAUAGUGAAAUGUUUCUCUUGAAGCUAGUUGAUCCACAUGUGGGAAUUGCAGAGGACUUGGAUAAGAGCAUGAAGGAGAUUGGCGACCUGAAAAAACCCUUUUAGAAAUUUCAUGGUUCUAAGUAUGCCUAUUAAGUAAUUUUUGUCUGUCCAUUUGAUCAUGUUAUCAGAUCAUGUAUAUGGGAGAGGAACUAGAAUUCAAUCUUUAGUCCAUUCUAGUUUUUGUCAUGUAUACAUAACAAUCUUCUAAUCUUUAUGAAGAAUUAAUAUAUUUUGCCAA
Molecule: long non-coding RNA, 3129 nt
Organism: Lotus japonicus
Lineage: Eukaryota; Viridiplantae; Streptophyta; Magnoliopsida; Fabales; Fabaceae
Exons: 3
Source: RefSeq, a predicted model, not a curated record